This 637-nucleotide ribosomal RNA is filed under the name uncultured Hyphomicrobiales bacterium. Its description in RNAcentral is "bacterial SSU rRNA". It matches the Rfam family "Bacterial small subunit ribosomal RNA", at positions 112 to 784 of the family's 1533-position model. The record is from RNAcentral. Lineage: Bacteria; Pseudomonadati; Pseudomonadota; Alphaproteobacteria; Hyphomicrobiales.
AACGCGUGGGAAUCUACCUUAAGCUACGGGAUAACAGAGAGAAAUUUCUGCUAAUACCGUAUGUGGCCUAUGGGCGAAAGAUUUAUCGGCUUAAGAUGAGCCCGCGUUGGAUUAGCUAGUUGGUGGGGUAAAGGCCUACCAAGGCGACGAUCCAUAGCUGGUCUGAGAGGAUGAUCAGCCACACUGGGACUGAGACACGGCCCAGACUCCUACGGGAGGCAGCAGUGGGGAAUAUUGGACAAUGGGCGGAAGCCUGAUCCAGCCAUGCCGCGUGAGUGAAGAAGGCCUUAGGGUUGUAAAGCUCUUUCACCGGUGAAGAUAAUGACGGUAACCGGAGAAGAAGCCCCGGCUAACUUCGUGCCAGCAGCCGCGGUAAUACGAAGGGGGCUAGCGUUGUUCGGAUCUACUGGGCGUAAAGCGCGCGUAGGCGGAUAGAUAAGUCAGAGGUGAAAUCCCGGGGCUCAACCCCGGAAUUGCCUUUGAUACUGUUUAUCUUGAGUGCAGAAGAGGUAAGUGGAAUUCCNAGUGUANAGGUGAAAUUCGUAGAUAUUCGGAGGAACACCNGUGGCGAANGCGGCUUACUGGUCUGCAACUGACGCUGANGCGCGAAAGCGUGGGGAGCAAACANGAUUAGAUA